Molecule: ribosomal RNA, 643 nt
Filed under: uncultured bacterium
Lineage: Bacteria
Description: bacterial SSU rRNA
Rfam family: Bacterial small subunit ribosomal RNA
Source: RNAcentral
CGCGGCCUAUCAGCUUGUUGGUGGGGUAGUGGCCUACCAAGGCGACGACGGGUAGCCGGCCUGAGAGGGUGACCGGCCACACUGGGACUGAGACACGGCCCAGACUCCUACGGGAGGCAGCAGUGGGGAAUAUUGCGCAAUGGGCGAAAGCCUGACGCAGCGACGCCGCGUGGGGGAUGACGGCCUUCGGGUUGUAAACCUCUUUCAGCAGGGACGAAGCGAAAGUGACGGUACCUGCAGAAGAAGCACCGGCCAACUACGUGCCAGCAGCCGCGGUAAUACGUAGGGCGCAAGCGUUAUCCGGAAUUAUUGGGCGUAAAGAGCUCGUAGGCGGUUUGUCGCGUCUGCCGUGAAAGUCCGGGGCUCAACUCCGGAUCUGCGGUGGGUACGGGCAGACUAGAGUGAUGUAGGGGAGACUGGAAUUCCUGGUGUAGCGGUGAAAUGCGCAGAUAUCAGGAGGAACACCGAUGGCGAAGGCAGGUCUCUGGGCAUUAACUGACGCUGAGGAGCGAAAGCAUGGGGAGCGAACAGGAUUAGAUACCCUGGUAGUCCAUGCCGUAAACGUUGGGCACUAGGUGUGGGGGACAUUCCACGUUUUCCGCGCCGUAGCUAACGCAUUAAGUGCCCCGCCUGGGGAGUACGG